UACGGAGGGUGCUAGCGUUGUCCGGAUUUAUCGGGUUUAAAGGGUGCGUAGGCGGGAGAUUAAGUCAGCGGUGAAAGCCCACAGCUCAACUGUGGAACUGCCAUUGAUACUGGUUUUCUUGAGUAUAGAUGAGGCAGGCGGAAUUUACGAUGUAGCGGUGAAAUGCAUAGAUAUCGUAAAGAACACCUAUAGCGAAGGCAGCUUGCUAAACUAUAAUUGACGCUGAGGCACGAAAGCAUGGGUAGUGAACAGG
This 253-nucleotide unclassified non-coding RNA is filed under the name uncultured Cytophagales bacterium. RNAcentral's name for it is "contains 16S-23S intergenic spacer region". It matches the Rfam family "Bacterial small subunit ribosomal RNA", at positions 524 to 776 of the family's 1533-position model. Lineage: Bacteria; Pseudomonadati; Bacteroidota; Sphingobacteriia; Sphingobacteriales. The record is from RNAcentral.